Molecule: ribosomal RNA, 570 nt
Filed under: Bacillus velezensis
Lineage: Bacteria; Bacillati; Bacillota; Bacilli; Caryophanales; Bacillaceae
Description: bacterial SSU rRNA
Rfam family: Bacterial small subunit ribosomal RNA
Source: RNAcentral
GUGGCGAAGGCGACUCUCUGGUUUGUAACUGACGCUGAGGAGCGAAAGCGUGGGGAGCGAACAGGAUUAGAUACCCUGGUAGUCCACGCCGUAAACGAUGAGUGCUAAGUGUUAGGGGGUUUCCGCCCCUUAGUGCUGCAGCUAACGCAUUAAGCACUCCGCCUGGGGAGUACGGUCGCAAGACUGAAACUCAAAGGAAUUGACGGGGGCCCGCACAAGCGGUGGAGCAUGUGGUUUAAUUCGAAGCAACGCGAAGAACCUUACCAGGUCUUGACAUCCUCUGACAAUCCUAGAGAUAGGACGUCCCCUUCGGGGGCAGAGUGACAGGUGGUGCAUGGUUGUCGUCAGCUCGUGUCGUGAGAUGUUGGGUUAAGUCCCGCAACGAGCGCAACCCUUGAUCUUAGUUGCCAGCAUUCAGUUGGGCACUCUAAGGUGACUGCCGGUGACAAACCGGAGGAAGGUGGGGAUGACGUCAAAUCAUCAUGCCCCUUAUGACCUGGGCUACACACGUGCUACAAUGGACAGAACAAAGGGCAGCGAAACCGCGAGGUUAAGCCAAUCCCACAAAUC